Molecule: long non-coding RNA, 290 nt
Filed under: Solanum tuberosum (potato)
Lineage: Eukaryota; Viridiplantae; Streptophyta; Magnoliopsida; Solanales; Solanaceae
Description: long non-coding RNA (STUB_LNC004867)
Source: RNAcentral
UAGUUUACUAAGCACCAAUUUUCACUUGAAGUGGAGCUUAGUUUUCUGGACAUUUUCUAUUUCUUUGGUGCAUAUAUAUAUUUAUAUUCUUAUAACUGCUUGAGGCAGAUUUGUACCAUAGGAGAAAAAAAAUCUUCUUUGUCCUCUCAUUCCUUCAUCAUUUUGAGUUCUUAAGGACUUGAUUGUACUCUACCUUCUACAUAGUGAAUUUGCUCACCAUUAUCCGUGAUUUUUUCUGACUUGAGUUUUCCACGUUAAAUUGUGUGUCAUUUGUUGUGUUUCCAGAUUUA